Molecule: ribosomal RNA, 545 nt
Filed under: uncultured delta proteobacterium
Lineage: Bacteria; Deltaproteobacteria
Description: bacterial SSU rRNA
Rfam family: Bacterial small subunit ribosomal RNA
Source: RNAcentral
GAGUUUGAUCAUGGCUCAGAACGAACGCUGGCGGCGUGCUUAACACAUGCAAGUCGUACGAGAAACCGGAACUUCGGUUCCGGGAGUAAAGUGGCGCACGGGUGAGUAACGCGUAGGUAAUCUACCCUUGGGUUUGGAAUAACCCGCCGAAAGGCGUGCUAAUACCGGAUAAAAUCUUUCGGAGGGAUCUGAAAGAUCAAAGGUGGCCUCUCCAUGGAUGCUACCGCCUGAGGAUGAGCCUGCGUCCCAUUAGCUUGUUGGUAGGGUAAUGGCCUACCAAGGCUACGAUGGGUAGCUGGUCUGAGAGGAUGAUCAGUCACACUGGAACUGGAACACGGUCCAGACUCCUACGGGAGGCAGCAGUGAGGAAUAUUGCGCAAUGGGGGAAACCCUGACGCAGCGACGCCGCGUGGGCGAAGAAGGCCUUUGGGUCGUAAAGCCCUGUCUAGAGGGAAGAAAUUCUCAAUGGAAUAAUACCCAUUGAGAUUGACGGUACCUCUGGAGGAAGCACCGGCUAACUCCGUGCCAGCAGCCGCGGUAAUACG